Molecule: non-coding RNA, 159 nt
Organism: Camellia sinensis
Lineage: Eukaryota; Viridiplantae; Streptophyta; Magnoliopsida; Ericales; Theaceae
Source: RefSeq, a predicted model, not a curated record
UCAUUUUGUUGAAAUAACUGACCGAUAUUUCGGAAGUGUCUGCGAGCUGGACUUGAUCUUCAAUUUCCAUAAGGCUUAUUAUAUAUUGGAUGAGCUUUUAAUUGCUGGUGAACUUCAGGAGACUAGCAAGAAAACAGUAGCACGUCUGAUUGCUGCACA